GAGCCACCGACCGCUGAACCU
Molecule: microRNA, 21 nt
Filed under: Cordylochernes scorpioides
Lineage: Eukaryota; Metazoa; Arthropoda; Arachnida; Pseudoscorpiones; Chernetidae
Source: RNAcentral